UACCAGCACCCCGAGUGGUCGGGACGUUUAUUGGGCCUAAAGCAUCCGUAGCCGGUUCUACAAGUCUUCCGUUAAAUCCACCUGCUCAACAGAUGGGCUGCGGAAGAUACUAUGGAGCUAGGAGGCGGGAGAGGCAAGCGGUACUCGAUGGGUAGGGGUAAAAUCCGUUGAUCCAUUGAAGACCACCAGUGGCGAAGGCAGCUUGCCAGAACGCGCUCGACGGUGAGGGAUGAAAGCUGGGGGAGCAAACCGG
This 253-nucleotide ribosomal RNA is filed under the name uncultured bacterium. RNAcentral's name for it is "partial 16S ribosomal RNA". It matches the Rfam family "Archaeal small subunit ribosomal RNA", at positions 474 to 727 of the family's 1478-position model. The record is from RNAcentral.